AUAAAAAGCAGGUUUGGCUCUCUUAAAGUUACACUGACUAUACCACACAUCAUUCUCCUGAUUCAUAUGAUUGGGAAUAUUUAAAAAUUCUCAGGUAAGCUAUAGCUCAAUGUCAGUACAAGAGGGAAAGAUUUAAAAUCAUGGACAUGGGUUGAGAUACAAGAGAUAUUCAAUUGCCUUUCCUCAUUCAUAUAUGUUUGAACUCUCUACUUAGGAUAAAAUGGGCCAUUCAGCACAUGCAGCAGUACUUUGCAGAAAGUUGGUUCUCUAAUGGAGAUAGAUUUUUUCCAAAGGACACAUUUUCUUUGGAUUAGUUUCUUAAAUCAGUAGUUGAGAACCCAUAAAUGAAACAUACUUGGUUGAGAUAAUACAUUCUGUUAGGCCAGGUUUUAAACAGGGGAGUAGUGCAUAGAAACAAGAAUGUCAUGAUUCUUGUUUUAAAUGUUAUUUUUUGAGAUUUGAUUAUUUGAGUCUUUUUUGAUUUUGUGGAUUUUUAGUUAUAGUUGCAAAAGCUUUAUUUUUUAUUGCACGUUCAUUGUAAAAAAUUCUGAAAAUUCAAAUAAGAUUGAACAAUAAUUGACAAAACAAGCCCUAAACUAUUCUUGGGGAAAAUUAAAACCCGUUUAAAAGAAACAUCAUACAAUAUUAUGUUAAAUGCCUCCUAUAACUACCAAAUUAAAUUUUCAAACAAAUUCAACAUUAUUGUGUUAAAUCAGAUAAUGGAAAGUUCAUUUUAUCACCAAAUGAAAUAGUGGUUUAAAUAUUUGCUAAGGAUUUCAGAUAUAUCAUUAGGUGCUGGAUAUCUGGUGGGAUGUGAAUGCAAAGACAUGGUUAUUUGCCAUAGAUCAGUAGUCACAUAGUUUUUCAGUGAGUUUUUUUAAAAAUUGAUUUUAGAGAGGAAUAGAGAGAGAGAAAAUCAAUGUGAGAAACAUCGAUUAGUUGCUUCCCUUACACACUCUGACCCACCACCUUUUUGUUUAUGGGACGACACUCCAACCAACUCAGCCACACCAGCCAGGGCUCAGUGAGUUUUUAAAUGAUCUUGUAAUGUACUGGAGAAAGGGACUAUCUUAAUUGACCAUUAAAAGGUUAUAUUUUUUACAGUAAUAUGAACUAUGUGAAGUAGAUAUGUCCUUGUCAGGUACCAAUUCCAAUAUUUAUGUAUUUCGUAACUCCUUUUGCUUGAUCGCUCCUAGUAAGGAUUGUCAUUCCACCUAUAAUUCUUUUUGAUUGUACUCUAUGAAAGAAAGGUUUUGAGGCAGUGGACUUGGUUAACAUGGACAUCUAUUUUGUGUACUUGUUUUUAUCUACAGAAUUAAGAUGGAAAAGAUACUUAAGCAUUAAAUCAGUGCUUUAAACCUUUUUUUUUUUUUUAAAUCACUAUCUUCUCCAAGGAGCCAUUUAAGACCAUUUUAGCCCUUCCAAGAACCAUUUUUGCUCCCUUUGAAAAUGCGUACAUAUUUUUUUAAAGUAUUGAAUGGCUUUGUUUAUUUUUAAAUUAUUUUUUUAUUGAUUUCAGAGAGGGCGGGAGAGAUAGAAACAUCAAUGAUGAGAGAGAACCACUGAUUGGCUGCCUCCUACAUGCCCCCUACUGCAGAUUGUCGCUGCAACUCGGGCCUGUGCCCUUGAUGGGAAUCGAACCCAGGACCUUCAAUUCACAGGCCGACACUCUAUCCAUUUAGCCAAACCAGCCGGGGUCAUAUGUUACUUCUAUUUGACUUAGUGUUUGUGUAGGCUGUACUUGAUAAAAUAGGCUAGACUUCUGAAAUGUAUUUGAUGUUAUUCCAUGAUUGCAGAUUUUGGGUUUAUUUGGAGAUUUUUUGUUUUUGUAUGAAUAUAUUUAUAUUCAUGUUCAGUGAUUUGAAAAUAAAAGGUCUCUUCAUUAUCUGAUGUGUCUCACCAACUUACGUACUGAAGUUGAAUUGCCCUUUUUUAAAAUUCCUAAUGUUGACUGAGUGCCUGGCAAUUAGUAGGUGCUCACUAAAAGUUUGUUAAAUGAAUUAAAGAAUGAAUAAUUGGGGCCCUAAGAGGAAGGAUGCCCUGUAAUUUCUAAGUCAGAUGGAGGUUGCAGGGCAGCAGUUUUGUUAUACUCUUGGAGGAACUUACUUCAGUAUUGCUGAGAGAUCUAGAUCUAAAUAAAGCUUUCUUUGAUUUUCCUAUUUUUGUGGGAAGUUGUCAACUUUGAUUUUGUGGGCAGAGAUAAUCUUGUGAUUUAGAAAUAAGUCCUAUAACAAAUCUGGAAAUGGAGUAAGAGAUUUGGGGCCAUCAUUAUGUCAUUGUCAUUUAUACUAUUCAGUAUGGGAUUGUGCUUCAUAAUGGUAGUGAUUAAUCCACAUUAUUCAAGGUUGGGAUACCUGCUACAAUUAAUUGAUGUUGCCAGAUCAUUCAGUUAUUCUUUAGAGUUAUCAGCUUGUUUUCUUGGUAAAUACUUAUGGACAAGUUUAAGUGACUAUGUGAUAAUGUCUGAAUUUCUGAAUAAAUGGAAUAGAUUUAAGGAGGAUGAAGAUCCUUUGGGUAUUGAUAAGAUGGUACUUAGCAGUAAAUCAGUGGUUCUUCUGUGCUGCUUUUGUAUACAAAUAGCUCCUUUAACUAUCUUAGACAUCUUUUUUUAAGCUGAUUUUUAAAAAUUGAUUUGAGAGAGCCCGGCCAGUGUGGUUCAGUGGUUGAGUGUCGACCCAGGAACCAGGAGGUCACAGGUUCGAUUCCUGGUUGUGUGCUUGAACUGCAGUAGGGAUGUGCAGGAGGCAACCGAUAGAUGAUGUUUUCCUCUCAUUGAUGUUUAAACUCUAUCCCUUUCCCUUUCUCUCUCUCUCUCUCAAAUAUCAAUAAAAUCAUUUUUUAAAAAUUGAUUUAAGAGAAGCAUCAAUUUGUUGUUCCACUUAUUUAUGCAUUCAUUGGUUGCUUCUUAUAUGUGCUCUGAUCAGGGAUCGAACCUACAAUGUUGGCAUAUUGGGACAACCCUCUAACUAAUUGCGCUACCUGGCCAGCGCUAAGCUGAUUUCUUUAAGGUAUAAUUAUAUUAGUUUCAAAUAUACAACAUAAUGAUUCAGUAUUUAUAUAUAUUGGGAAAUGAUCACCACAGUAAGUACAGUUAAUACCUGUCACCAUACAUAGUUACAAAAUUUCUUUUUCUUGUGAUGAGAACUUUUAUGAUUUACUCAGCAACUUUCAAAUAUGCAAUACAGUAUUAUUAAAUUUAGUCACCAUGCUGUACAUUAUAUCCAUAUGACUUAUAACCAGAAAUUUGCAGUUUUGAACCCCCCCCCCUUUUACCUGUUUCACUUAUUCCCCCACCUCUAGCAACCACUGAUUUGUUCUAUCAUGAGUUCACUUUUUAUUGUCUUUUUUUGGAUUCUACAUAUAAGUGAGACCAUGUUGCAUUUGUAUUUUUCUGUCUUUUUUCACUUAGCAUAAUGCUCCCAAAUUUUAUCUUGUUGAUGACCAGAUUUUAUUGUAUUUUUAUCUCAAUAAUAUUCUGUCCAUAUGUGUGUGUAUGUGUGUGUAUCUAUCUAUAUAUAUAUAUAUAUAUAUAUAUAUAUAUAUAUAUAUAUAUAUAUAUAUAUAUGGAUACACACACAUUUUCUUUAUACUUUUAUCCAUCUUUGGACACUUAGGUUGGUUCCAUAUCUUGGCUAUCUAUCUAUAUAUAUAAAAGCCCAAGUAACCGUUCUACCGGUAGCUAUGACGUGCACUGACCACCAGGGAGCAGACUCUCUGACUGGUAGGUUAGCUUGCUGCUGGGGUCCGGCCGAUCAGGACUGGGUCAGAUGGGCCAGACACGCCCUGGAGCCCCCCCCCACCCCACCCCCGCAGUCCCUCUCCAGUCCUGAUCGUGCACUGGUGGAUCCCUCGGCCUGACCUGUGCCCUCUCUCAAUCCAGGACCCUUGGGGAAUGUCCACAGACCAGGCUGAGGAACCCCACUGGUGCACGAAUUCGUGCACUGGGCCUCUAGUCAUAAAUAAUGAACAUGGGGAUACAUAUAUUUUUUGAGGCAGUUUUUUCAUUUUCUUUGGAUAAAUAUCUGCAAGUGUAAUUGCUGGGCUGUAUGACAGUUCUACUUCAAAUGUUUUGAGGAACUUUGAUACUGAUUUCCAUAGUGGUUACACCGUACAUUUCCACCAACAGCGCACAAUGGUGCCCUUUCUUCCACUUCCUUGCCAAUACUUGUUUCUUGCCUUUUUUGAUGUUGGCCAUUCUAACAGGUGUGAGGUGAUAAUUUAUGUGGUUUUGAUUUGCAUUUUACUGGUAAUUAGUGAUGUUGAGCACCUUUUUUGUGUACCUGUUGGCCAAAUGUAAAAUGUCUAUUCAGAUUCUCUGCCCAUUUUCUAAUCAGAUUUUUUUUUUUUUUGCUAUUGAAUUGAAUUAUUUCUUCAUGAAUUUUGGAUAUUAACCAUUUAUUCAGAUGUAUGAUCUGCACAUAUUUUCUCCCAUGCAGUAGGUUGCCUUUCAUUUUAUUGAUGGUUUCCUUUGCUAUAUAGAAGCUUUUUAGUUUGAUGUAGUCCCACUUGAUUAGUUUUGCUUUUGUUGCCUUUGCUUUUGGUGUCAGAUCCAAAAAAUCAUCGCCAAGAUAGAUAUCAGGGAGAUUACCAAAUAUGCUUUCUUAUAGGAAUUAGUUGGUUUCAGGUCAUAUGCUUUCUUAUAGGAAUUAGUUGGUUUCAGGUCUUACGUUUUAAGUCUUUUUAAUCCAUUUUGUGUAUGAUGUAAGAUAGUGGUCCAUUUUGAUUCUUUAGCAUGUGGCUGUCCAGUUUUCCCAAUAUCAUUCAUUAAAGAGACUGUCCUUUCCCAUUCGUAUAUUCUUGAUUCCUUUGUUGUAAAUUAAUUGAUCAUUAAUUGUUCUUAAUUUUAAAAAUUGUUUUGAAAUGACAGAGGUGAUAAACUUUGUCAGUAAGAAUCUGAGGAAAUGUGUGGUAUAAACAGUGUAAGUUGGGACUUAUUUCCCUCCUGUGGGUUUGAGGUAGUUCACAAAUAUUUUGUUUUCUGCUGUUUAUGGGGAUGGUUGCUACUUUCUGGUUAAAUUUUAACUCAAAAAGAAUAUCUCCAAGUACAUUUUUUUUCUUAAAUAUAGUUUUAUUGCUUUCAGAAAGGAAGGGAGAGGGCGAUAAAAAUAUCAGUGAUGAUUUAUUACCCAAAUAUUUUGACAUUUUGCAAGGUUGGCUGCCUCCUGCAUGCCCCCUACUGGGGAUUGAGCCCUCAACCUGGGCAUGUGCUCUGACCUGGAAUCGAACCGUGACCUCCUGGUUCAUAGGUAUACAUAAAACCACUGAGCCAUGCCAGCCAAGCCAUUCUUUUUUUCUAAAAGGAUUGUGCUUGAGUAGGCAGUACUCCAUUUUUGUAGCGAAGCUAUUAAUUAGCACAAUUGAAAAGUUUUAAUAAAUGUAUGAAUUAAAUCUAUUAAGAUGAAGUCAGAUUACUGCUUGGAUUUUUAAAUGACUUUAGAAAUAUGUUCUCAAAUUGUUUAAAUUCUUCAACUUUUUUCUUAAUCUUUUUUAUUGAGAUAAUAAUCCAACUAUUGACCUGACAAUGUAUAAUCUUAGUAGGUGAUACUGUCAUAUAUUCCAAGAUACUCUGUUUAUUCUAUAAAUCUUUUGUAUUUGUUCCUCUCCAUGAUAUCUUUAAAAAAGACUUUCAAGUAUUUUACCAACAAGGUUUGCUGGCCAAUGAUUGAUUAUUGUUUUCCUCUUAUGAAAGAGAUUAAUGAUAUGUUUUAUUAGUUUUUUUUGUUGGUACGUAGCUCCAAAAAGAGUGCAGAAACAGUGUGGACACAUCUGAACAAAAGAGAAAUAAUAGCAGUACUGUGAUGUAUGUGUGUUUGUGGGGAGAUCUAUGGAAUUUACGGGGGCAUCAGGAGUUUUCUAAAUGAUGGGUCAUAGUGAAGGAGGAUGGUGUGUUUAACUCUCCAUUAUCUCUUUGAAACAAUUUAAUUCAAGAAAAGUUUAUGAAUGGUUCUUUUCUUUUUAAUAUCAGCUAGCUGAAUACUUGAGUGCUCCUAUGAGCUGAUUGAAUAUGACACCAUUAAGGCUUCUCAUGUGUGAUCAGCUACUUUUUAUUAUCCAUGUAAUGUCCAUUUGUUCAAAACAAAAGUUGCUUUAGAGAUUUUUAUUUUUUUAAACCUAUUUUUGUUGAUUUCAGAGAGGAAGGGAGAGGGAUAGAGAGAUAGAAACAUCAAUGAUGAGAAUCAUUGAUUGGCUGCCUCCUGCACGCCCCCCUACGCAACCCAGGCAUGUGUCCUUGGCCGGAAUCGAACCUGGGACCCUUUAGUCCGCAGGCCAACACUCUGUCCAUUGAGCCAAACUGGCUAGGGCGCUUAAGAGAUUUUUGUAGGUAAUUUUCCCCUUAGCAAGAAACUUUAGAUUCAGUGAAGUGUGUUUAUUUGUUGACUGUCUUAUUUUUUAGUGAAAGUUUGAGGGAAUGAAUUUUUUU
Molecule: long non-coding RNA, 6421 nt
Organism: Myotis daubentonii (Daubenton's bat)
Lineage: Eukaryota; Metazoa; Chordata; Mammalia; Chiroptera; Vespertilionidae
Source: RefSeq, a predicted model, not a curated record